RNAcentral lists this ribosomal RNA (253 nucleotides) under uncultured bacterium. Its description in RNAcentral is "partial 16S ribosomal RNA". It matches the Rfam family "Bacterial small subunit ribosomal RNA", at positions 524 to 776 of the family's 1533-position model. The record is from RNAcentral.
UACGUAGGGUGCAAGCGUUGUCCGGAUUUAUUGGGUUUACAGGGUGCGUAGGCGGCCCUGUAAGUCAGUGGUGAAAUACUCCAGCUUAACUGGAGGGGUGCCAUUGAUACUGCAGGGCUUGAGUUAAGUUGAAGUUGGCGGAAUUGACGGUGUAGCGGUGAAAUGCUUAGAUAUCGUCAAGAACACCGAUAGUGAAGACAGCUAACUAAACUUUUACUGACGCUGAGGCACGAAAGUGUGGGGAUCAAACAGG